UACGUAGGUGGCAAGCGUUGUCCGGAUUUACUGGGCGUAAAGAGCGCGCAGGCGGUCGUUCAAGUCGCGUGUGAAAGCCCCCGGCUCAACUGGGGAGGGUCACGCGAUACUGAUCGACUCGAAGGCAGGAGAGGGUAGUGGAAUUCCCGGUGUAGUGGUGAAAUGCGUAGAUAUCGGGAGGAACACCGGUGGCGAAGGCGACUACCUGGCCUGUUUCUUGACGCUGAGGCGCGAAAGCUAGGGGAGCAAACGGG
RNAcentral lists this ribosomal RNA (254 nucleotides) under uncultured bacterium. RNAcentral's name for it is "partial 16S ribosomal RNA". It matches the Rfam family "Bacterial small subunit ribosomal RNA", at positions 524 to 776 of the family's 1533-position model. The record is from RNAcentral.